UCAGUCCACAGCUUCAAAUCAUCCAAUCAGGUGUGAGUGAGAGCUGCUUUUCUACUGAACACACAAGUUGAUUUCCUCACUAUCACUGUGUCUGAACAGGAACGAUGAUCUCACUCUUUGUGGCGCUUUACUCUCUGCUUUGUCUCUGCACAGCUGUAAAAACAUCUGACAUCAAGGAGCUUCACGUGAGAACAGUAAAGAGUGGAGAAGAUGUAACUAUAGCGUGUGAUCUCAGUCUGAUCAGAGACAAAAGUAAAGUAGUCUGGUACAGACAGAGUUUUGGAAAAGUGCCUCAGUUUUUUGCAAAACGUUACGGGACAAAUAACUACACAUUUACUGAUGGAUUUAAUGAUAAUCGCUUCAGUAUUACUGUAAAUGAGCAUCAGUUUGAUCUCAACAUUAAGAACCUGAGAGAAGAUGAUGGAGGAGAAUAUUUCUGUGGAGAAAUGGAGGGAACUACAAUAAAGUUCACAUCUGGAGCACGUCUGCAAUUUGAAGAUAAAGAGAUGAAACUCUGUCCUUCACCUGGACCAGAAAUCAAGACCAUAGAUUCUGUUACACACCAGGAUUUAAGCGAUGGAAUAAAAACACACAAUAAAAAAAUCAAGAGCACAGGUUCUGAUCCACACCAGAAUUCAGACAGCACGACUCCAGAGCGUUGUGAUGGUCAGAUCCAUCAGAUUUCCCACAUCACAUAAGGCACAUGUUUGAGAGUUCAGGAGACAUGAGAAAGCUGACAGUUUGCUCUCAUAGAAAACCCUCAUGGAGCCUCAAAAAGAGCAAAACUGUUGCAGGCCCUGGGUAAGAGACCCCAAAAGGGCCAUUGGGGACUGAUUAUGAUUUUUCCCAGACCACACUGUGACCCUUUAACAUGUUUUAGGGCCCAAGUGAGGUCACUGUUGGCA
Non-coding RNA from Silurus meridionalis, 905 nucleotides. The record is from the annotation of a RefSeq genome assembly. Lineage: Eukaryota; Metazoa; Chordata; Actinopteri; Siluriformes; Siluridae.